Molecule: non-coding RNA, 180 nt
Filed under: Catovirus CTV1
Lineage: Varidnaviria; Bamfordvirae; Nucleocytoviricota; Megaviricetes; Imitervirales; Mimiviridae
Source: RNAcentral
CCUUAUUUUUCAAUAAGGACUAGACUAUAUCUUAAGCUUCAAAACUACUUGAAACCAAUUUUCAUAUAGUCGUUGAACAUACCUCAUGUCGAGGUUUAGUUGCGGAUUGCCCAUUUCUUGAUAUUUUACUUCAACAAAUACUUAUUUGCUGUUAGUUAUCAAAAAAUUUUAAACACAAUU